Long non-coding RNA from Calypte anna (Anna's hummingbird), 557 nucleotides. RefSeq lists it as uncharacterized. NCBI's taxonomy places the organism in Eukaryota, Metazoa, Chordata, Aves, Apodiformes, Trochilidae. The transcript has 3 exons. The record is from RefSeq and is a predicted model, not a curated record.
CCGGACACGCCCCCUCUGCCCUUAUAUGAAACAGGGGGCGUGGCCUUAUGCAAAUAGCCGCCACAAACGUAAAUAGAACGGCCUGAGGAAGGGCUCGUUCCGGGCGCUGUCGCGGGGGUGGUGCGCGCCUCACCCCUCUAACAAACCCCGUCUCCCUCUCCUUCCGGCCCCCGCCCCCUCGCUGAUGUCACGCGCGCAAGCCCUAGCGCGCCUCGCGCGAGUGGUGGGAAAAGGGGGGCGUGGCCGGCGGCUCCCCUUUCUGCCACCAUGUAGGAAAUGGAAUGCGGGGGCGGGGCUGUCGUUGCCUCAACCCGGUCACCUCUGCUGAGAAAGCGGGCUGACGGGCAGGGGUUAGGGUUGGAAAACAGCUGGAAAAUACGGAGCCCUACGGUAGCUGCUGUGCCUCUGAUAUCCGGCGCGCUACCGACCAGCGGUUCGCUUCGCUGAUGGUGCCAGUUGGAAGCUCUUCGGUAGGCCAAGUGAGAGUUCAUCUUAUGAACAAUCAAGACCUUACUGCGAUGAGCAUUCCUUUCCUCUUUUUCUGCCUUACAGUUCCA